This 468-nucleotide ribosomal RNA is filed under the name uncultured bacterium. RNAcentral's name for it is "partial 16S ribosomal RNA". It matches the Rfam family "Bacterial small subunit ribosomal RNA", at positions 28 to 507 of the family's 1533-position model. The record is from RNAcentral.
GACGAACGCUGGCGGCGUGCUUAACACAUGCAAGUCGAACGGAAAGGCCUUGCUUUUGUGGGGUGCUCGAGUGGCGAACGGGUGAGUAACACGUGAGUAACCUGCCCUUGACUUUGGGAUAACUUCUGGAAACUGGGGCUAAUACCGGAUAGGAGCUCCUGCUGCAUGGUGGGGGUUGGAAAGUUUCGGCGGUUGGGGAUGGACUCGCGGCUUAUCAGCUUGUUGGUGGGGUAUUGGCUUACCAAGGCUUUGACGGGUAGCCGGCCUGAGAGGGUGACCGGCCACAUUGGGACUGAGAUACGGCCCAGACUCCUACGGGAGGCAGCAGUGGGGAAUAUUGCACAAUGGGCGGAAGCCUGAUGCAGCAACGCCGCGUGCGGGAUGACGGCCUUCGGGUUGUAAACCGCUUUCGCCUGUGACGAAGCGUGAGUGACGGUAAUGGGUAAAGAAGCACCGGCUAACUACGUG